This 429-nucleotide ribosomal RNA is filed under the name Chloroflexota bacterium. RNAcentral's name for it is "Chloroflexi bacterium partial 16S ribosomal RNA". It matches the Rfam family "Bacterial small subunit ribosomal RNA", at positions 355 to 776 of the family's 1533-position model. The record is from RNAcentral. Lineage: Bacteria; Bacillati; Chloroflexota.
UGGGGAAUAUUGCACAAUGGGCGCAAGCCUGAUGCAGCCAUGCCGCGUGUAUGAAGAAGGCCUUCGGGUUGUAAAGUACUUUCAGCGGGGAGGAAGGGAGUAAAGUUAAUAGCUUUGCUCAUUGACGUUACCCGCAGAAGAAGCACCGGCUAACUCCGUGCCAGCAGCCGCGGUAAUACGGAGGGUGCAAGCGUUAAUCGGAAUUACUGGGCGUAAAGCGCACGCAGGCGGUUUGUUAAGUCAGAUGUGAAAUCCCCGGGCUUAACCUGGGAACUGCAUUCGAAACUGGCAGGCUAGAGUCUUGUAGAGGGGGGUAGAAUUCCAGGUGUAGCGGUGAAAUGCGUAGAGAUCUGGAGGAAUACCGGUGGCGAAGGCGGCCCCCUGGACGAAGACUGACGCUCAGGUGCGAAAGCGUGGGGAGCAAACAGG